RNAcentral lists this ribosomal RNA (253 nucleotides) under uncultured bacterium. RNAcentral describes it as "partial 16S ribosomal RNA". It matches the Rfam family "Bacterial small subunit ribosomal RNA", at positions 524 to 776 of the family's 1533-position model. The record is from RNAcentral.
UACGUAGGGGGCAAGCGUUGUCCGGAAUUAUUGGGCGUAAAGAGCGCGUAGGCGGUCCGGUAAGUCGGCUGUGAAAGUCAAGGGCUCAACCCUUGAAAGCCGGCCGAUACUGUCGGACUAGAGUCCGGAAGAGGCGAGUGGAAUUCCCGGUGUAGCGGUGAAAUGCGCAGAUAUCAGGAAGAACACCGAUGGCGAAGGCAGCUCUCUGGGACGGUACUGACGCUGAGACGCGAAAGCGUGGGGAGCGAACAGG